UACAGAGGGUGCAAGCGUUGUUCGGAAUUAUUGGGCGUAAAGCGCGUGUAGGCGGGAUGGCAAGUCGGGUGUGAAAGCCCUCAGCUCAACUGAGGAAGUGCGCCCGAAACUACUGUUCUUGAGUGUCGGAGAGGGUGGCGGAAUUCCCGGUGUAGAGGUGAAAUUCGUAGAUAUCGGGAGGAACACCGGUGGCGAAGGCGGCGACCUGGGUCGACACUGACGCUGAGGCGCGAAAGCGUGGGGAGCAAACAGG
RNAcentral lists this ribosomal RNA (253 nucleotides) under uncultured bacterium. Its description in RNAcentral is "partial 16S ribosomal RNA". It matches the Rfam family "Bacterial small subunit ribosomal RNA", at positions 524 to 776 of the family's 1533-position model. The record is from RNAcentral.